UUGCAGGAGCCCCCGGGCUACUCUGAUUUAUUUCAAUGAUAUGAAGAAAUAAGCCCCAAAGCUCCUGCUAAAUUAACUGACAUUCGUGUUGCAGUUCUGUCUCUUUUUGAAUCCGGCUUAACUGUGUCAAAGCAAUGUCUAGAUUU
This is a small nucleolar RNA of Capsella rubella, 146 nucleotides long. It matches the Rfam family "small nucleolar RNA snoR134". NCBI's taxonomy places the organism in Eukaryota, Viridiplantae, Streptophyta, Magnoliopsida, Brassicales, Brassicaceae. The record is from Rfam.